RNAcentral lists this ribosomal RNA (469 nucleotides) under uncultured bacterium. RNAcentral describes it as "partial 16S ribosomal RNA". It matches the Rfam family "Bacterial small subunit ribosomal RNA", at positions 28 to 507 of the family's 1533-position model. The record is from RNAcentral.
GACGAACGCUGGCGGCGUGCUUAACACAUGCAAGUCGAACGGAAAGGCCCUGCUUGCAGGGUGCUCGAGUGGCGAACGGGUGAGUAACACGUGGGUGAUCUGCCCCUUACUUUGGGAUAAGCCUGGGAAACUGGGUCUAAUACUGGAUAGGACCAUGCUGUAGGUGGUGUGGUGGAAAGAUUAGUUUCGGUAAGGGAUGAGCUCGCGGCCUAUCAGCUUGUUGGUGGGGUAAUGGCCUAACAAGGCGUCGACGGGUAGCCGGCCUGAGAGGGUGGACGGCCACAUUGGGACUGAGAUACGGCCCAGACUCCUACGGGAGGCAGCAGUGGGGAAUAUUGCACAAUGGGCGCAAGCCUGAUGCAGCGACGCCGCGUGGGGGAUGACGGCCUUCGGGUUGUAAACUCCUUGCAGCCAUGACGAAGCCCUUGUGGUGACGGUAGUGGUAGAAGAAGCACCGGCUAACUACGUG